RNAcentral lists this long non-coding RNA (1724 nucleotides) under Heterocephalus glaber (naked mole-rat). RNAcentral describes it as "lncRNA (ENSHGLG00100037370.1)". Lineage: Eukaryota; Metazoa; Chordata; Mammalia; Rodentia; Bathyergidae. The record is from RNAcentral.
CACGAUGUAGAGGGCUGACUGGGUGGCAUGAUCUUACACCUGUGGAAUCUGCAAAAUGGACCCUAUGGAAGCAGCGCAGAAUGACAAUUACUAGAGACUGGGAGAGGGAAGAAGUUUUAGAGGUUUCAGUUCAUGGUCACCUGGCUUCAAGGCAGAAGCGUCUUGGCAGUGGGACAUGGAGAAGGAAACCUGCUCACCUGUGGUAGCUGGGAAGCGAAGGCAAGAGCCAGAGAAAAGGGGGCCAUUGACAAACUAGAGUCCUCCAAAUCACACUCCCUGACCCACUCCCUUCACCUAACCCCUGCCACCUGUUUCCACGGUCUUCCAACAAUACUAUCAGAGCAUUAUCUCAUCAGUUGAAUAAUCCACUGAUAAAUUUAGAGCCCGUAUAUCCAAUUGCCUUCGGAAAGGGGAGAGGUAUUUUAGAUCUAAACCAUGACAACUGUGUAUUUCAAAAUAACUAAAGAGCAGAUUCAAAUGGAUUUCUUUGGUUUAAUUAUUCUAAGAAGAUGAACCAUGAGGUAAUUUAAGGGAAGAACUAGUUUUGUGCAGAAUGUGGAUAAAUGGAAAGGACCACAAUUUUAAUACAGAGAAUGUGUAAUCGAAGAGCCCAAGUCAGAAAUUCUCCUCACCGGAUCCCUUACAGUACUAUGGAAGGACUGGUCUCAGCAGGGAUGUGUGUCACAAAUAUGGAAGACUGGGAAUCAAACGAGGUUUGAACAGUAUCAUUCAAUCUACAAAUAUUUGCCUUCAAAAUACCUUUUUCACACAUGCAACACUGGUCUCAUAUUUUGAGACACUUCCAAUUUACAAAGCUUCAUCUCUGCGGUUCCUUGAUGUAGGCUGAGCACACGUUAACCACACUGUUUUUCAGAGGGACUGAAGUCUGGGAAGGCUCAGUGACUUGGCAGAGAUCACAUAAUCAGCAACCAGCGGGUCCUCUGGCUCUGCUACAGCUGCCUCAAGACUACAGAGCAAGGCAAGCUACACCUGCCAUGAAUUUCCAUAUUCCACUUCUAAUGGUGCCGCAGGCUGUCCCCUCAUAUAAUUAGCUCCUCUGUGGAACCCGGUGUAUCUAGGACAAAGACAGUGGAUCUGCUUGAAUGGAAUAAGUAGUGAAGAGCUGAGCUCUAUCCACUGGGAAAUCCCUGAACAACAGCGAUCAAACUUUGAGGUUCUAAAGUAUAAGUAUGAGGACUACUUCUUACAUUAUUUAAAAUUUUUCUCUCAAUUACCUUAUGCUGUGGGUAUUAUUUCCCCUAUUUCCCUCUCUUGGGUGGGGAAAACAUAAGUAACUUAAAGAUGGCAGAGGGAGGAUUUAAACUCACACCAAUCUGAUUCUUAAAUUCAGGUUCAUGGCCCAGGAUGUAGCUCAGUGGUGGAGUACUUGCCUCACAUGCAUGAGGCCCUGAGUUGGAGCUACAGAACCGCCAAGAGAAAAUGCAGAUUUGGCCCACAGCAGGUAUGUACUCCUGGUGCCCAACUGGUCUAACUCCACACACCAUCAAACCCAUCCUGCUACUUUCCCAGACCAGCAUCCAUGCUCAUGACACAACUUCCCCUUGAAUCUCAGUGAUGAACGUUCUUGGAACCAAAUGCUGGGGAAAGCUGAAUGUGCCUAGCUGCUGAAAUGCCUUUGAUUUUGUGACUAAAUAGUUCCAUGUACAUGUGCAUCUUGUUCUCUAUGUAAUCUGUUAUAAAGUAAAAGAAGUUUUGGUGUUGAG